This 497-nucleotide ribosomal RNA is filed under the name uncultured bacterium. RNAcentral's name for it is "partial 16S ribosomal RNA". It matches the Rfam family "Bacterial small subunit ribosomal RNA", at positions 28 to 507 of the family's 1533-position model. The record is from RNAcentral.
GAUGAACGCUGGCGGCGUGCCUAAUACAUGCAAGUCGAGCGAACGGACGAGAAGCUUGCUUCUCUGAUGUUAGCGGCGGACGGGUGAGUAACACGUGGAUAACCUACCUAUAAGACUGGGAUAACUUCGGGAAACCGGAGCUAAUACCGGAUGAUAUUUUGAACCGCAUGGUUCAACAGUGAAAGACGGUCUUGCUGUCACUUAUAGAUGGAUCCGCGCUGCAUUAGCUAGUUGGUAAGGUAACGGCUUACCAAGGCAACGAUGCAUAGCCGACCUGAGAGGGUGAUCGGCCACACUGGAACUGAGACACGGUCCAGACUCCUACGGGAGGCAGCAGUAGGGAAUCUUCCGCAAUGGGCGAAAGCCUGACGGAGCAACGCCGCGUGAGUGAUGAAGGUCUUCGGAUCGUAAACCUCUGUUAUUAGGGAAGAACAUAUGUGUAAGUAAAUGUGCACAUCUUGACGGUACCUACUCAGAAAGCCACGGCUCAAUACGUG